RNAcentral lists this long non-coding RNA (500 nucleotides) under Triticum aestivum (bread wheat). RNAcentral's name for it is "long non-coding RNA (TAES_LNC020416)". Lineage: Eukaryota; Viridiplantae; Streptophyta; Magnoliopsida; Poales; Poaceae. The record is from RNAcentral.
UUCGGGCGCGGACGCCGGCGGCCCGGCGCUUCUGGGCGGUGGGCGUCGUCGCGUGCUUCCUGGAGCUCGCGCUCAAGCUGUACAUCAUCCCGGUGGUGGUGAGUUUUUGUGCUGUCUUGGUGACUUGAUUGUUGAUUCUCAAGUUUGGGUUUAAGUUCAGGCGCUAAUGAACUUGCACUCGUUGUUUCUGUCAGUGCCCCGCGGCUGUGGAGGAUGGUGUUUAGGUGCGCUGCACCUGCCGAAGAUGGAUCAUUUUGGAGAUGCGCCGUUUUGUUUCAUUAGCUAAGUUAGAUGUUUGGAAGGGCCUGCCAUGUGGGGUUUUAGACUCAUCUGCUAGUAUGAAUGUAUGUAUGCUACUUCGUACUUGGAUCCUUAAUUACCUUUUUGUUGUUGUCUUGUUGCAUCGGGAUGCGGCCCUUUAGGCUGUAUAGAAUACGUAUGAAGUUAGAAGGGAUUCGAACUUAUAUUUAGCUCAAGAGAAGUCUUGAAGGUUGGAAACU